This 801-nucleotide long non-coding RNA is filed under the name Cottoperca gobio. Its description in RNAcentral is "lncRNA (ENSCGOG00000017537.1)". Lineage: Eukaryota; Metazoa; Chordata; Actinopteri; Perciformes; Bovichtidae. The record is from RNAcentral.
CAAUUAGGUUCUGUGGUCCAGCUGUGGGAGUGGUGCUGAUUCACCGGUUAGACCAGCUGUGGGAGUGGUGCUGAUUCACCGGUUAGACCAGCUGUGGGAAUGGUGCUGUUUCACCGGUCAGACCAGUUGUGGGAGUUGUGCUGUUUCACCGGUCAGACGUACCAUGACAUUGCAGUUUGGUUUGUGACCUGCCAGUAUAAAAGCUCUGGUGCAAGAGGUUUGUCUACAUACAUCCGACAACAUGAAGGUUCAACUUCUCACGCUGCUGCUCCUGCUGUGCAGCACUCAAGUGCUCACACUCAGAUGCUACACCUGUGUAGGUGAAGAUGACGAGGACUGUAAGGUGGAGACAGAGUGCCCGGCAACAGCUCAGUACUGCAUGACCAUGCAAUACGGUAGUUAAAAUCUUUCUGCUGCAUUCAUUUAGAUUUCUUUUAUGUCCAUGUUUUAAUAUCUGUGUUUAAGUUUUUGAGAAAAACUACAUUACAUUCUCCCAUGACAGAGGGAUGGUUCAGUCAUUGUAUUUUUAUUAAAUUCUUUCAACAGGUGGAGAACUUUCUCGAACUUGUCAGGAUUAUUGUGCCGAAGAUGAUAACACAUAUUGCUGCCAAGAAGACCUCUGCGACCCAUGAGUCAUCCCUCAGCGCUGACUUUCGCUUUCUGAAAAAUGAAAUGAAUAUAUAAGACAAAUGUAUUACUUAAAUCUAAAUCAGAUCGAAGAUGAUUUUUAACUUUAUAGGAUUGUAAUGUGACUAUCCUGUCUUGCUUUUACUUUCAUUAAACUCUACAAAUAUUGAAUCA